Molecule: long non-coding RNA, 625 nt
Filed under: Homo sapiens (human)
Lineage: Eukaryota; Metazoa; Chordata; Mammalia; Primates; Hominidae
Description: HSALNT0388193
Source: RNAcentral
AGAGCAUGGAGCACACCUUCCUGGUUCACCUGAGCUGGAUUCGGAGAGGUAAAAUGGCCAUUACCUCGUCUAAGCUGCCACUUACAGACACAGUACAGGAUGAGGCCCAGACCCACAGAGACAACGAUGAUGGCCACAGCUAAGAUGAUCCAGAAAUUAUUCCUCCACCAGCUCAUUGCAGUGGAAUCCUGAGAAGAAUGGAGAGAGAAGAAUGAGCUUCUUGCAUGACUGCCUGAAAUCCGCCUCCUGUCAGAUCAGCAGGGGCAUUGGAUUAUGAUAGGAGUGAGAACACCAUUGUGGACUGCGCAUGCCAGGGAUCUAGGUUCCGCGCUCCUUAUGAGAAUCUGAUGCCUGAUGAUCUGUCACUGUCUCCCAUCACCCCCAGAUGGGACUGUCUAGUUGAAGAAAAACAAGUUCAGGGCUCCCACUGAUGCUACGUUACGGUGAGUUGUAUAAUUAUUUCAUUAUAAUUACAAUGUAAUGAUAAUAGAAAUAAAGGGCACAAUAAAUAUAAUGAGCUUGAAUGAUCCUGAAACCAUACUCUGCUGCUCCAUGGAAAAAUUGUCUUCCAUGAAAUCAGUCCCUGGUGCCACAAAACUAGUCCCCGAUGCUGCCCUAGAGUUUA